UCCAGGAAUGCUCUGGAAAGGGUGGGACUCGGUUUAUAUAGUUCUGACGUUUUUCGCGUCACCACUGGCUCGCGCUUGCGCGCGUACUUACACAAAAUGGAGUUGAAGAUCACGCGGUCUUCUAGAAACGACCUUCUGUGUGUGUUCAAGGACGAGCCCAUCCCCCACUCCGGUUUCCGGUUACUUUACGUGAUUUCUAUGCAAAGCUAAUCAUUAAUCUAUAGGAUUUUUUUUAAAUGAAAAUGACGUAAGAAUUCCAUCUACAUCACUUUACAAUAAUCUAGCCCUAUUCGUUUAUGCAAAUUCAAGAACUAGUUAUUGUAAGACAGAUUCAGCCUUUAUGUAAAUCACUGUCACGCUGUUAUGUUUAAAGUGUGUUUUCAAAUGUAACAUUCAUUCAUUUAAACGAUCAUUUAUAGAACAAUAAGUGAUAUACCUAUGACAAAAAUACAAAACAUUGGGACACAAUGCAAGAACUAGCUGCCAACACGAGGGUUCAUUUCUUUCAGGAAACGUUUCACAUAAAAAUACAUUUUACAUUGAUUUCUGUCUUGAAAUAUUUGACUAGGUAAACUGUAUGAAUUCAUUUAAAACGAUCUCUUUAAAACUGAAAAAAGUGAGACCCGUGAACGCGCACUUCCGUCACAGUGCACUUUAACCUCUCUCAACAACUUCCUAUGAUACAAAGACGCAAUGGCAGCCUCCUUAAAACGCACUGAAAUAUUUAUCUGCCGCACAUUUCCCGUAAUUUUACAUCGAAAUAUUCAAGCACAGGUUGGUUGGUUGCAGACAAAAUAUUUUAAUUGAUGCUUAUAUAUCCUGUAUAAGUAAACAUGCAUGCUGUUGUCCGCUCAUUUCGCGUGCAAACAUCCUCAACAUAAAGGACACAUUACUCGUUUUGUAUUGCAGAGAUCUGUGAUUGUAAAAUAACUGCUCCAGUGCUGGGUCUAAAUGUUCGUGCUUUAUCAUCUUCAUCAUCUGCUGAUGACACAGAUGUGCUGUCUAGAUAUUCAGACAGACCAUGGGAAUACAUAGAAAUUGAAGAGUACACUGAGCAAUAUGGAUCAAAGCCUGUGUAGUCUAACUAAAGGAGGAACCAUAAGGGGGGCGUCCCUCCUCAAAACACAAGAAAGACCUGUAUGAGAGGUGAUAAUAUAUGCGGCAAACCAUGUCCCAUCUGUCGUGAUCCAAACAUCAUUGUCCAUUACAAGAAUGUGAACCUGUUGCAGCAGUUCAUUAGUCCUCAAACAGGAAUAGUGUAUGAUUCCACUCAAACUGGUGUGUGUAUAAAAACAACAGAAACUACUUAACAAGGCCAUUGAAACUGCUAGAGAUUGUGGCUUAGUUUCUGCCCAGGUACCUCAUGUUGAUUACUUUAAAGAGGACUACUCAAACACUCAUGGUGCUGUAGCACUGACUCCUGCCCCAUCUUCUCUACGCUCUUGAGAACUGUGCCAUCUGUGGUAUGGAAGUAUAAAACCAGAUGAGCGAGAACUGGAAAGAGUGAAGUGGAUCUACAAAGACUACCUGAAACCAAACGUUUGAAUCCUGUUGUAAAAGACCUUAGGCAGAGCAGUUGCUGUGUAUUUGACACAAGAGAGAGGCAGUUAGGAAUAGACUUCAACAAUGGCAGAUCCUUCAUUUUAAAACUCAUUUAUGGCGUUAUGUCUACUGUAAGAUUUUUUGGAAAAACAUUUAAUCAAAUGAAAAAUCUGUAUUUUGUCAAACAGCAGAACUGAUUAAACGCAGUGUACUUCU
This is a long non-coding RNA of Carassius gibelio (silver crucian carp), 1758 nucleotides long. RefSeq lists it as uncharacterized. The record is from RefSeq and is a predicted model, not a curated record. The transcript is spliced from 6 exons. NCBI's taxonomy places the organism in Eukaryota, Metazoa, Chordata, Actinopteri, Cypriniformes, Cyprinidae.